RNAcentral lists this long non-coding RNA (200 nucleotides) under Elaeis guineensis (African oil palm). RNAcentral describes it as "long non-coding RNA (EGUI_LNC081458)". The record is from RNAcentral. Lineage: Eukaryota; Viridiplantae; Streptophyta; Magnoliopsida; Arecales; Arecaceae.
UGAGCUCCUCUCAGACGGAUAACUAGCCACCUCUCUCUGCCAAACACUCCAGCCAGACUUCGGCCGACAGGCCUGGACCCUCUAGCAGGCCACAGCAACGGCCACAACUCUGCUCCACUUCCUGUGAUGGAUUCCACAUGGCUCCAUCACUCUCUGACGGGCUGCAGUAAUGGCCACGACUCUGCUCCACUUCCUGCGAC